Molecule: long non-coding RNA, 316 nt
Filed under: Ananas comosus (pineapple)
Lineage: Eukaryota; Viridiplantae; Streptophyta; Magnoliopsida; Poales; Bromeliaceae
Description: long non-coding RNA (ACOM_LNC019242)
Source: RNAcentral
UUUUUAUCGGCAAAAUAUAAGCUAUCAAAAGCCUGCUUGGUAUUGAGACUCAUCUAAUGUUAUUAAAUAAAACAGAGUUAUGACGGCGGCUUAUAAAAAUAUGCUUUUCUAUUUUUUUUAUAGAAUAUCAGUAAACAUAUCGUAACUAACUUAUUGCAAUUUGCACUACGUGAUAUUACGCAUAGAAACAAACAAAAUAUUAUUUUAUCGUAUUUUUUCAUCCUACGCAAUAUAAUCUUUCUACAAAGCCAAAAAAAUAACCCUAAAUAAUUGAUAAGUGCUUUUCCAAACAGUUAUACUUUCUUAGCACUUUUCU